Molecule: ribosomal RNA, 209 nt
Filed under: Vibrio cholerae
Lineage: Bacteria; Pseudomonadati; Pseudomonadota; Gammaproteobacteria; Vibrionales; Vibrionaceae
Description: partial 16S ribosomal RNA
Rfam family: Bacterial small subunit ribosomal RNA
Source: RNAcentral
UAAUUGAAGAGUUUGAUCAUGGCUCAGAUUGAACGCUGGCGGCAGGCCUAACACAUGCAAGUCGAGCGGCAGCACAGAGGAACUUGUUCCUUGGGUGGCGAGCGGCGGACGGGUGAGUAAUGCCUGGGAAAUUGCCCGGUAGAGGGGGAUAACCAUUGGAAACGAUGGCUAAUACCGCAUAACCUCGCAAGAGCAAAGCAGGGGACCUU